This is a long non-coding RNA of Bombyx mori (domestic silkworm), 942 nucleotides long. RefSeq lists it as uncharacterized. The transcript is spliced from 2 exons. The record is from RefSeq and is a predicted model, not a curated record. Lineage: Eukaryota; Metazoa; Arthropoda; Insecta; Lepidoptera; Bombycidae.
UGUUGAAAAAUGGUACACAAUCAGGUAUGCCUCAGAAAGGCAUAUCUAAAAACAAAGUUUUAGUUAAAGUCCUUUAAAUUAAGAGGUAAAUUCUACAAUUUUCUGGGAGGUUAUCUUAUUUCAGCUUACUAUAGUAAGGUUUAUUUUAUUAAGGGUUUAAGGGUUAAUUAAGGGUAUAAAGGUUUAUUUUAUUAUAUUAAGGUUAUUUUAUUAAGGUCUUUUAAAAGACUUGGCUGCAUAGGCAGUGUUCCGUUUGCUUGGCGACGAAUCAAACAAAAAAAAGUGUUGUAAUUGUGAUUUGUUAUUUCCAUGACGUUACUGACGUACAAAAACGCCAAUAUAUUUACAUUCUAAGAUACCGUACGAAAAAAAGCGCGGGAAGUGUUGAAUUAAGCGGGCGUCUUUUUUUUGGCUAAACUUUUGAAAAUUAAAUUAAUUUAAUAUUACAGGAUCAGUUAAGUUGUAAAGUGUAUAUAUAUUAGUAGUAUUGAUUAUUUAUAGUUUUAGUUUGUUUUCUUCGCCUGUUAUUGAAUUCUUGGACUCACAUUUGGCGUUCUUCAAGUCAGACUAAAGGUCGAUAUUACAGCACGAUCCAGGUGGAUAUACCUCCUAAACCGUGGUUUUCAAAUCUGACGUUUGGUAAAGCUAUCACAUCGACCCUUAUUCGCAUGAGGCUGGGCCAUGCAUGCAUUCCCUUGCAUUUGGCAAGGCUUAACCUUUUGCCUAGCGAUAUAUGUGAGUGUGGCAAUGACGUUGGGGAUUUUAAUCAUAUAUUCUUUGCCUGUCCUCGAAAUGACCGUUCCGCUUUUAUUUCCUCACUUUUGUCCAUUAAAAUUCCUUUUCCUACUUCAAUUUCUAUCCUUUUAUCUAAUAUCAAUAUUGAUGUAUAUAGAAUAUUAGCUAGUUUCAUUUUUCAUAAUAAUAUAAAAUUGUAACCAUUUA